Molecule: ribosomal RNA, 446 nt
Filed under: uncultured bacterium
Lineage: Bacteria
Description: partial 16S ribosomal RNA
Rfam family: Bacterial small subunit ribosomal RNA
Source: RNAcentral
CCUACGGGUGGCUUCAGUCGAGAAUCAUUCACAAUGGGGGAAACCCUGAUGGUGCGACGCCGCGUGGGGGAAUGAAGGUCUUCGGAUUGUAAACCCCUGUCAUGUGGGAGCAAAUUAAAAAGAUCGUACCCCAAGAGGAAGAGACUGCUAACUCUGUGCCAGCAGCCGCGGUAAUACAGAGGUCUCAAGCGUUGUUCGGAAUCACUGGGCGUAAAGCGUGCGUAGGCUGUUUCGUAAGUCGUGUGUGAAAGGCGCGGGCUCAACCCGCGGACGGCACAUGAUACUGCGAGACUAGAGUAAGGGAGGGGGAACCGGAAUUCUCGGUGUAGCAGUGAAAUGCGUAGAUAUCGAGAGGAACACUCGUGGCGAAGGCGGGUUCCUGGACAUUAACUGACGCUGAGGAGCGAAAGCGUGGGUAGCAAACAGGAUUAGAUACCCCUGUAGUC